Long non-coding RNA from Hemicordylus capensis (graceful crag lizard), 851 nucleotides. RefSeq lists it as uncharacterized. NCBI's taxonomy places the organism in Eukaryota, Metazoa, Chordata, Lepidosauria, Squamata, Cordylidae. The transcript has 4 exons. The record is from RefSeq and is a predicted model, not a curated record.
GCACGGAAGGCGGUGAUCAGGAAGCCUCCAGCAGUUGUACCAUUGUUCGCUACACAACCACAGAGAAAAAUACAGGAGGAAACAAGUCUAAUUGCGUCAAGUUUGCUGAUGAGUUAUGGCAGCUCACUGCGUCACUCUGAUCCUUUUCUGGAAGACAGACAAAAGACCUAGGAGAGAAGCAGGUCUUCUGUCAUUUGCACCAGGAUAUGAGAAGAGAUGAAAAUAAUGUCCCCAGAGAGAGUGUGAUAAGCACUGAGGACUCAGCUAACUGUGACUCCCAAAAGCAAAGUCCCAGAGGAUUGUGCAGCCUCAGAAGAAAGGAGAGAUUGGAAGAAAGGAGAGAAAGGAGCAAAAGGUGCAUGGUAAUGGAAAAUGUGCAUUUUCAAGCACAUGCUUAUUUUUCGUGCAGAACACAUGUAAUAUAAAAGGUUGCUUCAUUUUACUGGUGCCCCGCAGAUCCUUUUGUCAAACUGAAUUGGACCUAAAAAGAUAUUUCCAGUGUAUUCAGACAGAGGUUGACUCUCCUAUUGUUUCUUCAUUGGUACCUGUGAUGAAAUGGUGGUUUGUCUUGUUCUAGAAUAUCAGUUAGAAAAAUAUUUGUUUGUAUUUAUGUUUGUGCUAAGGUAUAAACUAAUGUUAUACUGGAAGUUUUGGACUGAAUGUAGUAGAGGCAGCAACAGCACCAUGGUGAUUGGGCAGUGGAGAUUCCAUAUGCUGAUUGAGAGAGAAGGUCUGUUAAGUCAGUCGGAGUUAGACUGUUGGAAGAUGCGUUACUGGUUGGAAAAUGUGUUUUAUGUAGCUUUGUGUAAAGGAUACAAGAAGUAUAUUUAUUUCAAACAAGAGUAAAUCCU